GUUAAAAGUUCGAUCCCGAGCUACACUGAGGUGGCGGUAAUGCACCACUUCGUCGUUUGCCAAUCGCCAUAAAACGCCGAGUAGAAGAAGAAGGUCGAAACGCAUUAACGACGAACGAAGAAGAAAAGUGGCGCGCCUACCACCCGAAUUUGAAUUGCGUCCUCUACUAGUGUCACCACAAUGGCUCAGGGCCACACAUUUCAAGACUUGGAGGAGAUGGGCGAGUCGCUGGUGGCCUUAAUCAACAGCAGCCAAACUGAGAACCUGAGACGAAUCACUGAGGAGCUUCAGGCCCUUUUUGACCAGCACAUGGAAACGAAAAAGGUCAUGACAGAGAUUUUAAGAGAAGAGACUCUGAUUGAGGAAGGUGUGGGCCAGAGACUACUGGACAUGGAGGAGGAGAAGAAGCAAAGGAAGAGGGAGCUGGAGACCCUGGAGGAGCAGCUGCAGCAGUACACAGCCAAAAGCCAGACCAGUGACUCUGAAUUACAGUUCCUGAGGGGAGAGCUAGAGAGACUGAAAAACACUGAUCACGAGCUUGAAACACUGCAGAGUGAGGUGAAUGAAGACACCACUGAGAUCAUCCCUUCAGCAAUGUAUGUUGCUCAGCUGUUCUACCUAAUAACCAAGAUCAAGUGGGAAUUUGAUACAUCACCCAACAUCUUAAAAGGAGUACACUAUGGUGCAGACCUGGCAACUCCCAUCAACAUCGACACAUCUCUGCGACCUCAGAGUGACGUGAGCGACACGUUGUGGGGCUUCGUCAGCACUGAAUGAGCCAGAACCUCCAGUGUUCAUGGCAUGGAUGAAUUCCAGCGUCAAGGUUACGAGGGAGCCUUUCCUGGCCCUACGUGCCUGUCUCCUGAAGGAAUGGAGAUGUAAACAGCGUCAUGCUGCUCCAGUCAGAGGAAUCCUAUAAAAGCCUGCUCUGCUCUUGUUUUCUCUGCAAGUCGAGGGAUGAGCUGGAGCUCAUAAAGCAAACCGAGGGCGCGCUGAGGUCCUGGGCUCUGUAAAAAAGCUGUGGCUGCAGUGGUACCGAUGGUGGAGAGGAACAUGGACUCACACACACACACACACACACACACACACACGCACUACACCUCGGGAGGGUUUGGUGCUUGUGAGCGAUGCACGGCCUGAGGACACGCUCUGUGAAUUUCCCUCCCGUGUGCCUGAGCUCAUAAAAAGAACAAAUAAAAACCACACACAUGACAGGUGCCAACAUCAGUAAUGUGAAAACGAGGAUGAUGAAAUACGAUCAUGCCGCUCGCUGGUUAUUUCCUUUUUAUCUUUUCCAAAUGUGUGUUUUUGAGUUUGUGCUUGUCAGAAUAUCUACAUG
Monopterus albus (swamp eel) is the source of this 1339-nucleotide RNA transcript. It is a transcript of the gene named SPC24 component of NDC80 kinetochore complex, with no coding region annotated. The transcript is spliced from 8 exons. NCBI's taxonomy places the organism in Eukaryota, Metazoa, Chordata, Actinopteri, Synbranchiformes, Synbranchidae. The record is from RefSeq and is a predicted model, not a curated record.